RNAcentral lists this long non-coding RNA (5201 nucleotides) under Citrus x clementina. RNAcentral's name for it is "Citrus clementina (C. clementina) long non-coding RNA (CCLE_LNC000907)". The record is from RNAcentral. Lineage: Eukaryota; Viridiplantae; Streptophyta; Magnoliopsida; Sapindales; Rutaceae.
UGUUAGUGAAUUAGAUGAAGCUGGAGCAGAGCAUGAUGUUGCUGUGUAGCUGGAGCAGAGCAUGAUACAGCUGGUUGUAGCAGAUCAAAUCAUUAAGCUGACCUGUCAAAGUUAGUUAGCUGGUUGAGCUGAUGUGUCAAGUUAGUUAUACAGCAAAUGAUUGUGUUGCAACAAUCUCGUGUGUGUUAAGAGAUUGUAGCUCAAUAUAAAUAUCAAUCUGUAUUCAUUAAACAGUAAGUUUUGGAAUAAUAAAAGAUCUAAUAGAUUUCUUUGUAAAGCUUUUCUUUUAUUUUCUUUCAUUUUCCAACCUACCAAACAAUAUAAAACUAAGUUUCUUUCAUGGUAUCAGAGCCAUAAAUGGCAAAUAUAGUUCAAAACAACAACUCCUUCAGUUUUGUUACGCCAGUAAAGCUAGAUCAAAACAACUUCAUUAUGUGGCGCACACAAAUUUUAACUUCAAUCAAAGGAAAUGGUUUGGAAGGGUUUAUCAAUGGCGAUCGAGAAUGUCCUGAGCAGUUUCUUUCUUAUGGAAACAACAAUGGAGCUGAAGUUUUAACUGAAUUUGGAUCUAGAUCUAUUAAUCCAGAAUUCGUAGCUUGGAUGAAAACUGACCAACUCUUACUGAGUUGGAUGAUGUCAUCGAUACAGCAAAAUCUGCUUGCAACUGUGAUUGAUUCUACAACUUCAAAACAGCUUUGGGAAACUCUUGCUAGUAUAUUUAUCUCUCAAUCACAAGAUAGAAUUCAAACACUUAGAAUGAAGAUUCAAACUAUUAAGAAAGGUGCAAUGCAUAUGUCUGAGUAUUUUGUAAAAGUAAAACGCAUAGCUGAUACUUUAGCUCUAGCUAGAAAACCUAUUGAGUUAAAUGAUCUUGUGAUGCACAUAUUAACUGGUCUUGAUUCUUCAGACUAUGAGUCUUUAGUCACUGCUGUGUUAGCUCGAGGUGAAAAGAUCACAUUAGAUGAACUAUAUUCUUUGUUGUUGAAUCAUGAAAAUAGAGUUGAGCAAAAGAAAGGAAAAUUGCUGGUGAUGUGAUGCAUGACAUGACAGCAAAUUUUGCUCAGAAGAACUCUUAUGCUGGAAAGAAUAAUGGAAAUUUUCAGAAAAAUUAUGGAAAUAACUAUGGAGGUGGUAAUAAUUCUGGAUAUGGAGGUUUUAAUGGAUAUGGAUAUGGUCAGUUUAAUACUGGUAGUAAUUCCUCUGAAGUUGUUUGUCAAAUUUGCUUCAUACCUGGUCAUGCUGCAAAUAGAUGCAGGAAUAGGUACAACUCAUCCUUUGUUCCACAGAGGAAUCAUGGUAGAGGCAAUAUGAAUGGUGGCAGAGGUUUUAAUCAAGGGCAAUAUGGUAGAGGAAGAGUAUAUAAUGGUAAUAGUGGAAGAGGUUUUGGAGGUUUUGGUUCAAAUGCUGGUUUUGGACAAAAUGCUAGUUUUGGUCAUGCACCCAGGGGUUCUGUUUAUCAAGGAAAUAUAGUGUAUCCAGAUAGCAAUCCUUCUGCCUAUUACUCUUUCACUCUUGGAUCAUCUAAUUUUGUUGUUGGUCAAGGAAACAAUAAUCCUGGACAGUCAAGUGCUUCAUCUUCCUCAGCUAUGUCUUCUUCACUUCCAGAACUCAUUGAAAAUCCUUCCUGGUACAUUGACAGUGGAGCCACAAAUCACAUUACUAAUGAUCUAGGUAAACUUCUAGAUUCACAAGCUUAUACUGGUACUGAAAAGUUAUUUGUUGGGGAUGGAAAUGCAUUAGCUAUUACACAUAUAGGAUCAGUUGUGCUGAAUACUUCAAAUUCUCAAUCUUUAUUUCUUAACCAUGUUCUUCAUGUUCCCUUUAUUACUAAGAAUUUACUUAGCAUCUCCAAAUUAUUGGCGGACAAUCCUGUUACUGUUGAAUUUCUUGGUGAUUUCUGUUUUAUAAAGGCCAGGAACACAGGGAAAAUUUUACUUGAAGGUGUUGCUAAAGGUGGCUUGUACAGAGUCUCUUCACAUGCUGCUGCUCACUCAGUUUUUCUCAGUUCAGUUGGUCAAAACAAAAUUCAGUCUCUUUUCGCUUGUUUUCCUAGUUUUACUUCUAAUAAGUUUUCUGCUGUUAGUUCUUCUGAUAAGCUGAAUAAAAACUCAUGUCUGUCAGUUGUUGCAAAUGGUUUAACUGAUGUAAAUCUUCUACAUAGAAGAUUAAGACACCCUGCUCCUUAUACUCUCAAAACCAUACUCAAAGCUUGUAACAACUUUACUGCUCUUGAUAAAGCUGAAAGUUUGAAAUUUUUUUCAGCAUGUCAAUAUGGGAAAAAUCAUAUGCUGCAUUUUGAUUCAGUUGAAACAAAAACUUCAGCACCUUUACAACUAAUAUAUGCAGAUCUGUGGGGUCCUUCUCAUGUUUGUUCUACCCAAGGAUAUACCUACUACCUGUCAAUCCUAGAUGAUUACAGUAGGUUUACCUGGAUAUUCCCUUUAUCAGCAAAAUCUGAUGCUCUUGAAGUCUUUAAAAAUUUCAAAACAUUCAUUGAAAAGCAUCUUCAACUUGCAAUCAAAACUGUCCAAACUGACUGGGGAAGGGAGUUCAGAUCUUUUUCCUCAUUACUCACUACUUCUGGUAUCCAUUUUAGACAUCCUUGCCCACAUAUUCAUCACCAAAAUGGAAGAAUUGAGAGGAAACAUAGACACAUAGUUGAUGUAGGUCUGACUUUAUUAGCUCAAGCUCAUUUACCACUCAAAUUUUGGUGAAAUGCAUUCCACUCAGUAGUCUAUUUGAUAAACAGACUUCCAACUCCAGUUCUAAAUAGCAUUUCUCCUUUCCAAAAGCUGUUUCAUUAUCAACCAGAUUAUUCAACACUUAAAACUUUCGAUUGUGCUUGUUAUCCAACACUCAGACCAUACAAUAGAUAUAAGUUUGAUUUCAGAACUGCUAGAUGUAUAUUCAUUGGCUAUAGUUCACAACAUAAGAGAUAUCUGUGUCUUCAUUCUUCUGGAAGGGUCUAUAUUUCCAAUCAUGUCACCUUUAAUGAAAAUUCAUUUCUUAUGAGUCUGGGGUAGAUUUUUCUUCAACCUCUUUAAGCUGUCAGUCCCCAUCACACUCUGAGUCUUCUUUUAAGUCUUCCACUUCUUCUGUUACUCAAUUACAAGCACCUUUAGCAGCAUCAUCAGCACCUCAACCUACUGAUCAUCAGUCUAAUGCUUCUAUUUCCUUCCCAAACUCUACUCCAGUUUAUUUUUCUAAUAACUCCAACUCAGCUUCUUCUUUCUCCUCUUCACAUUCCUCACCUCCCCAUACAUUGCCACAACCUGCACCAUCUGGUCAUCCAAUGGUAACCAAAUCAAAAUCAGGUAUUUUCAAGCCAAAAGUGUAUUUGUUAGCCUUGUUAGCCCAGCAAUCAGAACCAACUUCUGUUUCCAAAGCACUCUCUGAUCCUAUGUGGUAUAAAGUUAUGCAAGAAGAGUAUCUAGCACUUACAACUAAUCACACCUGGGAUUUGGUUUUACCUGCUACUCCAGUAAAGAUAGUUGGUAACAAGUGGGUGUUUCGAAUAAAGUAUAACUCAGAUGGCUCGGUUUCAAGGUAUAAAGUCAGGCUUGUUGCAAAGGGGUUUCAUCAGACACAUGGGGUUGACUACACAGAAACCUUCAGUCCAGUGGUUAAAUCUUCAACUAUCAGGGUUAUUCUCAGCUUAGCAAUGUUGCACCACUGGGUUAUUAGGCAAGUGGAUGUUAAUAAUGCCUUCCUCAAUGGCAUUUUAAUUGAAGAUGUGUACAUGGCUCAGCCUCAAGGUUUUGUUGAUUCAACUAAACCUAAUCAUGUUUGCAAGCUGAAUAAGGCUUUGUAUGGUUUAAAACAGGCUCCUAGAGCCUAGUUUGAUAGAUUUAAGGAUGCAAUGAUCUCCCAGUGGCAUUUUCAGCAUUCAAGGUCUGAUAACUCUCUUUUUUAUGCCUGGAACAGUGGUCAUAUAACUAUUGUUUUAGUCUAUGUUGAUGACAUUAUCAUCAUUGGUUCCAGUCCAUCACUAAUUCAGCAAACUAUUCAUAAUAUGCAUCAGACUUUUGCUUUAAAGGAUCUGGGGGAACUUCACUAUUUUUUAGGGAUUGAAGUCAGCAAGUCUUCCAAAGGGGUUUCCUUGACACAAGCAAAGUACAUUGUUGAUGUUCUGGACAAACAUGGCAUGACUAAUUGCAGUCCUGUGCCAACUCCAAUGUCUAUAGGUUAUUAUCUCACCAAAGACUCAGGGGAGCCAAUUGACAAUGUUUCUCAAUACAGAAGUGUUAUAGGAGCCCUUCAGUAUGUUACUCUCACCAGGCCCGACAUUGCUUUUUUUGUAAACAAGUUGAGUCAGUUCCUUUCCAAUCCUAAGACUCAACAUUGGGAAGCAUGUAAAAGGUUAUUGAGGUACUUAAAAGGUACUGUCCAUCUUGGGCUGCAGUUCUACAACCAAGGAGCUCUGCAACUCCAUUAUUUUUCAGACUCUGAUUGGGCUUGUGAUCAUGAUGAUAGGAAGUCAGUAGUUGGAUUUGCUGUUUAUCUAGGUCCCAAUCUUGUCUCUUGGUCGUCCAAGAAGCAAGCUGUUGUUUCCAGAUCCAGCACAGAAGUUGAGUAUAGAUCUCUUGCUCAUGCUGCUUCAGAGGUUACCUGGAUGAAGUCUUUACUUGGUGAACUUAGCAUCAAAUUGAGCUCUACUCCUAUGAUGUGGUGUGAUAAUCAAGGAGCCAUUGCUUUAGCUUAUAAUCCAGUUUAUCAUGCUAAAACUAAGCAUGUAGAAUUGGAUAUCCAUUUCAUCCGAGAUAAAGUUACUACUAAAGAAGUUGCAGUCUGUUACGUGCCUAGUCAAGAUCAAACUGCAGAUGUGUUGACUAAAGCUCUUACUUUCAAACAAUUUAGUUACUUUCGCAGCAAGCUGAAUGUUCAUCCUAAACAUUUCAGCUUGAGGGGGGAUGUUAGUGAAUUAGAUGAAGCUGGAGCAGAGCAUGAUGUUGCUGUGUAGCUGGAGCAGAGCAUGAUGCAGUUGGUUGUAGCAGAUCAAAUCAUUAAGCUGACCUGUCAAAGUUAGUUAGCUGGUUGAGCUGAUGUGUCAAGUUAGUUAUACAGCAAAUGAUUGUGUUGCAACAAUCUCGUGUGUGUUAAGAGAUUGUAGCCCAAUAUAAAUAUCAAUCUAUAUUCAUUAAACAGUAAGUUUUGGAAUAAUAAAAGAUCUAAUAGAUUUCUUUGUAAAGCUUUUCUUUUAU